UUGACCUCGGAUCAGGUAGGACUACCCGCUGAACUUAAGCAUAUCAAUAAGCGGAGGAAAAGAAACCAACAGGGAUUGCCCUAGUAACGGCGAGUGAAGCGGCAACAGCUCAAAUUUGAAAUCUGGCCCUCGGGCCCGAGUUGUAAUUUGUAGAGGAUGCUUUUGGUGCGGUGCCUUCCGAGUUCCCUGGAACGGGACGCCAUAGAGGGUGAGAGCCCCGUCUGGUCGGACGCCAAUCCUCUGUAAAGCUCCUUCGACGAGUCGAGUAGUUUGGGAAUGCUGCUCUAAAUGGGAGGUAUA
This 300-nucleotide ribosomal RNA is filed under the name Penicillifer bipapillatus. Its description in RNAcentral is "eukaryotic LSU rRNA". It matches the Rfam family "Eukaryotic large subunit ribosomal RNA", at positions 1 to 303 of the family's 3401-position model. Lineage: Eukaryota; Fungi; Ascomycota; Sordariomycetes; Hypocreales; Nectriaceae. The record is from RNAcentral.